GGAUGGAGGCGCUCUGGGGCUCCAGGAGAAAGGCAGGGACAGGAGGGAACAGGAGGGAACCAGGAGGGAGCUUUUCCAGUCAGGAUGGGGCAGUGGUUACUGGGAAUGGCUCCCACCUUCCCAGGAGUGCUUCAUUUCACACCCUGCUCCGUGAGGAAUCAGUGGGGUGGAGGGAAUCAGCACUGGGAACAGGGAAUCCAGCACUGGGAUCACUGGGAUCACUGAAUUCAGCACUGGGAUGGAGGAAUCAGCACUGGGAUGGAGGAAUCAGCACUGGGAUCACUGAAUUCAGCACUGGGAUCACCAAAAUCAGCACUGGGAUCACUGA
RNAcentral lists this long non-coding RNA (328 nucleotides) under Zonotrichia albicollis (white-throated sparrow). RNAcentral's name for it is "lncRNA (ENSZALG00000001743.1)". Lineage: Eukaryota; Metazoa; Chordata; Aves; Passeriformes; Passerellidae. The record is from RNAcentral.